GCCUGAGUGGCUCAGUCGGUUAAGUGUCUGACUUCGGCUCAGGUCAUGAUCUCACGAUUUGUGGGUUCGAGCCCCACGUUGGGCU
RNAcentral lists this transfer RNA (85 nucleotides) under Felis catus (domestic cat). It matches the Rfam family "tRNA". Rfam says of the family: Transfer RNA (tRNA) molecules are approximately 80 nucleotides in length. Their secondary structure includes four short double-helical elements and three loops (D, anti-codon, and T loops). Lineage: Eukaryota; Metazoa; Chordata; Mammalia; Carnivora; Felidae. The record is from Rfam by way of RNAcentral. RNAcentral also lists the same sequence under 4 other names.